Molecule: unclassified non-coding RNA, 1053 nt
Filed under: Hevea brasiliensis (rubber tree)
Lineage: Eukaryota; Viridiplantae; Streptophyta; Magnoliopsida; Malpighiales; Euphorbiaceae
Source: RNAcentral
UCAACCUCCCUGUUAGAUUUGUCUACUCUUUCUAGGAAGUCUUGCCAUGAAAUGUCACCAUCACGCAGUUCUAUGCUCAAAGUGGAGCUUCUAUUGGGAAUUACAAUUGCCAUCGGUGAUUGAGCAUCAAUCACUUUACUGUACAAUGGAAGUUUUUUGCCACCACGGCUAAUGAAAUCCUGAGUGAAAAUAGCCUUUGCUUUUGAUAUCAUGAGCCUCGUUGCAAUUUCAGUUGGAGCAAAACUGUCAGCGAUUGAGACAACCACAUAACCCGCAAUAACAAUGGCCAAGUAGAUCACUACGGAAUUGACAUCCAUUGGCAUAUCUAUGGCAAUGGCAGAUCCUUUGUCCAAUCCCAGUGUAUCAAUGCAAUAUGCGACUCUCCAUACUGCAGAUCUUAGUUCCUCAAGAGUCAAUUUGGUAACAGGUGCCUCAUCAUCUCCUUCAUCACGUGUUAUCACAACUAUGUCACUUAAACUCCUCUUUGCAUUCAACCUCAAACAAUUCUUGGCAGGAUUUAGACGUGCCCCAGGAAGCCAUUGACCACCAGGGUGCAAAGGAGUUUCAUGCAGAAUACAUUCAGGACUAACAGAGAAAAAAAUAUCCAUUUCCUCAAAUACGAUCUUCCAGUACAUCUCCAAGUUUGAGACUGUAAAUUCUUGAAAAUCAGAGAAGCUUGAAAUAGGAUUUUUAUAACUUGACCCCAGUAACUCCUUUCCUCGCCGCUCCAAUAACUUACCAAUGUUAGUCAACUUAGCAGCUUCCGGGUCGGGCAACCAAGCAGGCGGGUCAGGUCCAUAGUCAAAGUAACAGCCAUAAUACAUCAUCUGAUGGAAGGCGAAGGGAAGGUCCGGAGUAAGAAGGUAUUGAGAAAUGUGCCGCCAUGUAUUGGUAGCGUCAGCUCCGUAUUUAGCAACUAUCUCAGUGAGCUUUCGGUGGAGUUGGGCGGCGGCGGCGGUGGUGGAGAUUCCCUGCAAUGCCUGAAUAUCCUCGACGGUGACAGAGCGCAGAGGUUGAUAGCAUGCCAUGAGAUUCGAAAAAAAUGAGAAAAGA